Molecule: RNA transcript, 2098 nt
Organism: Erigeron canadensis
Lineage: Eukaryota; Viridiplantae; Streptophyta; Magnoliopsida; Asterales; Asteraceae
Exons: 7
Source: RefSeq, a predicted model, not a curated record
AACAAAAUUACAACAAACAAGAUCUCCUCUUCCAUACAAACACAAAAACAUCUAAAAACUCAAAAACUUCAUCAUGUUUAUAAGUUCAUGUUUUGUUCUCAACUCAAACGACCAUCAGUUGACUUUCCUGCCUCAAUCCUGAUGCCGUUAGCUCACCGUUAACUCCUCACCAUACUCCGUUAUCUCAUCGGCUAAAUGUAAUGUCCAUUCUAACUCAAGCACGGCAGCUCCGCCUCUCUCCACCACCACAAACCACCGCCAUCUCCGGCAUACUUUACGACCCCACCUCUUUCUCUUUAGCUCUCAAACACCCAGAUUCAUCUAUCUCUCUCUACCCCAAUAUCUCACCUUUUUCAUCACCACUUUCACUCUCUACCUCCGCCGUCACCGCCUUAUCUCCGCCGUCUUCCGCUGCCGCGUUUCUCCACCUCCGAUCAACUGGGUUUUCUCGUGUGAUGUUCAUUGUGUCAUCCCCUCACCUUGCCGGAAACUACAUAUUGUUACGCUUUUAUAUACUUGGUUCCGAUAAAUUCGCUAGGGUUAGGGUUUGCUGUAAUAAUAAUAAUAAUAAUAGUAAUAAUAAAAGUGAAAUGUUUUUUGAUGAAAAGAAGUUUGGGGUACUAAUUAAGGUUAAUCAUGGUGUGUCGGUUAAGGUUGUUGGUUCAGUUAAUGUUUUUGCUCUGUAUUCGGUUUCGGAUAGUAAAGUUCGGGUCUACGCGGUGAAGAGUGUUUUUGGUGAAGGUGAUGAAGUGAAGUUGAUGAAAACCGCGGUUAUUGAUUGCGAAUUGCCGGUUUUUAGCAUUAGUGUUUCAGGUGGGUUUUUGAUGUUAGGGGAAGAGAAUGGUGUUCGGGUUUUUAAUUUAAGGACUCUUGUGAAAGGGAAAGUUAAGAAAUUUGAUAAUAAAGUGAAUGUUAAAAAGGUUAGUUUGGUUAAUGGAAUGGUUUCGGAUGGGGGUUCGGUUUUGUAUGUGAAGAAUGGCAAAGAGAAGAUUGGGAAACAUUCUGACAAUUCCGUGAAGUUGAAGCCUGUGAAAAUGAGACAAAAUUCUAAUGAAGGUGGUGUUCGUUUUGUGGCAUUUAAGAGCAAGGAGUUUGAGGAUCAAAACUCCUCAAAAGUGCCAUCGAUGUCGUUAAAGGCGAUUUCUAUCCACUUUUUAGCCCAUAAUAAGUUUCUGAUUUUAGACUCUCAUGGCGAGCUGUACCUGCUAUCGUUGUCUAAUCCUAACUCUGGAUCAGGAUCGACAUGUGAUAUGAAAAAAUUAACUCUCACCAUGAAAGUUCAAAAUCUAGCAGUUCUUCCUGAUGAUUCCACAAGAGCUCAGACUGUUUGGGUAUCAGAUGGCGAGUAUACCAUCCAUGCAAUAAUUGUAUCUGAUACAGAAUCUCCUGCCGAUGAUAAUGAUACCAAGGACAUUGAAGAAAGACUUCAAAGCAUGGCCACUAAAGUGAUCUUCACCAGUGAAAAGAUUCAAGAAAUAAUUCCUUUAGCCGCUAAUGCAGUAUUGCUACUUGGACAAGAUUUAUCAAGGCUUUUAUCUUCAUUCACAUGGUGAUGAUUUCUUCAACUUACGAAAUCCAGUGGAUCGUCUUUUUGUUUAAAGAAUGGAUGAUACGUGUUCUCUUCCUUCCAGCGUCUCAUUGUUAUUAUCUGACUAAUCACGAGCUUCAGGUGUCUGUUAUACUUACAUAGUGUCUAACUCUCAGGGUGAGCUCUUGAAGAGAAUGUUAAGCAACCAGUUCGGUGGAUUGUCAUUUGAGUUUAAUCAUGGUGAGGAGCGAGUUUCUUGACAGUUCAUGCCACCUAUGCAAGUGCCAUGCUCCCGGGAGACAUACUUUUGACUAUUUGCAUGGAACUUGAACUUCUGGUACUCAGAAUCAACUAUGCGAGGAGCGACCCACUGGAUGUUUAGAAGAUGCACUGUAUUACAUAAUAAAUCAUUUGCUUUUGGCGAUUAUGUAGCCUCUCUUGCCAUCUGCUGCUAAUAAACUUAAACAAAUUGGUAUUUUGUUUGUUUCUCUUUUAUGUAUGCAAAUAGGAUAACUAAGCAUCAUCAAGAUUGUGUAAUCUGAAGAUUGAUGACCGUGAUAUUGAUGCUUU